AACGAACGCUGGCGGCAUGCCUAACACAUGCAAGUCGAACGAGACCUUCGGGUCUAGUGGCGCACGGGUGCGUAACGCGUGGGAAUCUGCCCUUCGGUUCGGAACAACAGUUAGAAAUGACUGCUAAUACCGGAUAAUGACGUAAGUCCAAAGAUUUAUCGCCGAAGGAUGAGCCCGCGUAAGAUUAGGUAGUUGGUGGGGUAAAUGGCCUACCAAGCCGACGAUCUUUAGCUGGUCUGAGAGGAUGAUCAGCCACACUGGGACUGAGACACGGCCCAGACUCCUACGGGAGGCAGCAGUGGGGAAUAUUGGACAAUGGGCGAAAGCCUGAUCCAGCAAUGCCGCGUGAGUGAUGAAGGCCUUAGGGUUGUAAAGCUCUUUUACCAGGGAUGAUAAUGACAGUACCUGGAGAAUAAGCUCCGGCUAACUCCGUGCCAGCAGCCGCGGUAAU
This 451-nucleotide ribosomal RNA is filed under the name uncultured bacterium. Its description in RNAcentral is "bacterial SSU rRNA". It matches the Rfam family "Bacterial small subunit ribosomal RNA", at positions 29 to 524 of the family's 1533-position model. The record is from RNAcentral.